RNAcentral lists this ribosomal RNA (253 nucleotides) under uncultured bacterium. RNAcentral's name for it is "partial 16S ribosomal RNA". It matches the Rfam family "Bacterial small subunit ribosomal RNA", at positions 524 to 776 of the family's 1533-position model. The record is from RNAcentral.
UACGUAGGGUGCAAGCGUUGUCCGGAAUUAUUGGGCGUAAAGAGCUUGUAGGCGGUUUGUCGCGUCUGCUGUGAAAUUUCGGGGCUCAACCCCGAACUUGCAGUGGGUACGGGCAGACUAGAGUGUGGUAGGGGAGAAUGGAAUUCCCGGUGUAGCGGUGAAAUGCGCAGAUAUCGGGAGGAACACCGGUGGCGAAGGCGGUUCUCUGGGCCUUACCUGACACUGAGGAGCGAAAGCGUGGGGAGCGAACAGG